Molecule: long non-coding RNA, 661 nt
Organism: Mustela erminea (ermine)
Lineage: Eukaryota; Metazoa; Chordata; Mammalia; Carnivora; Mustelidae
Exons: 4
Source: RefSeq, a predicted model, not a curated record
GCUGACAUGCCCUGAGAAAGGAACAACUGGGCUCUUUAACUGCCCAGCUAUAACUCAAGUGGAAAAUCAGAAAGCCAUGAUGAUACCUUCACUGUAGCGCUUUUCUCCAGGGGUCAUAGGGCUGCUGUGUCUGGGAUUGAUUACAAGUAAUCAACUUGUAAUCAAGUUGAGUCGGGACACCAAUUAAACGCUUACCUACACCAGAUCUGGUAUGCAAUGGCUCUAAUGGAGAAACUGUGAGACCAUGCUACAUGAAGUGGCCACAUUGAGGCAGAACAAAAAUGAGGAAGCCAAAUAGUUUUUAGAACCUACGACCUGAGCUACUUUAGCAAUUGGGAAGGGAGGGAGAAGUCAUUCAUGAAAGGAUAAAAGUGGGACCACAUUAAGCAUUAAGGACAUACAACAUGACCAAUUGCUAGUACAUGACAAAAUUGAAAAAAAGGCAGGAAGAAAAAGGGUCACAGGAUGGAGGACAUCAGGCUAUGAGUGAAGUUUACAGAAACUCUUGGCUUGUACGUUCAACAGUAUAAAUCUACCAAGUGGUGUCAUUUUAAUUUCCAUCACCCUCCCCUCCUGGUGCAGCUAGAGGGCUUGUCCUGACUGAUGGCUCCAUCAGUAACAAAAGGAGGGUUUGGGCAACAAUACUGGAUACUCUUUGACA